CUGGGUAUGGAGGGUCAGUAGCUGCCAGAGACUGAGAACCCUAAGCUGGAGUCUCACAGCUCAUUGACCCCUAUUCCCAGAGAGGGAAACUGAGGCCUGAGAGCAAGGGUCCGGGCCAGGACUUGCCCAGAGUCCCCAGCAAAACACGGCAGGCAGUGCCGGACCAUCACUCACCUGGGGUCUUAAGGGAGGCUGGUCUCCCUGCCACCCUCAGAGUGCUCCCAUCCUGACCCGUUCCUAGAGUUCCCAGGGCUCCCUGGUAGGUCGCCUAGGGGUCCCCGGAGGGAAGGGCGGGUGGAGACUUGGGGAAUGUGCUAGUGUCCCAGUCGCCCUGGAAGAUACUGCUCUAGACUUCAUUGGUGGGCACUCCUGGGUACGCGGACCCCGUGGUCACAGGUGCACAGACCCAGAGGCUCACAGGUGCACAGAAGCUCUCUCCUCGCUCCCUAGCGUGCAGGACCAGCCAUGCAGCUCUGUGGACUCGGAGGUUGAGGUCAAGGGAAGAUCCUGCUGCUGCUGCUGCUGAUCCCCCAGCUCUGCACCAGGUGACUGAGGGUGCAAGUCUCCAGAGCAUCCCUCCAGGGGAGGCGAUAGGGCAGGGUCCAGCCCUGGGCAGGGUGGCCAGGGCCGUGGCUCUGGAGAUGUGGAGGGAACCAGGUCAAAGGGCACAGCCGGAUCAAGGUCCAGUUGCCGUAGCAGAUGUGGCAUGGCCAGCCUGGGUCCCGCACCUUGUGCUCUCGAGCACAGUUCUCAAACGUCUUGAUCUCAGGACCCCUUUACUCUGAACAGUCACUGAACUUCAGUGCUGUAGCUUACGUGGUUAAAUCUAAGAGUUACCAUAUUAGAAAUUAAAGCCAAUAAAUAUUUAGUAAUUCAUCUACAAUAUUGGUUAAAAUAGUAAUUCACCAAAAUGGAAAAUCAGUAUUUAUUAAAUCACUAGAAACAAAGUAAAUGACAAUAUAUUAUUUAUAUGUGAAUAUAUAGAUUUGAAAAUAAAUUAACAUUUAUACAGAAUAACACUAAUUUAGGUAUAUGAAUUUAUUAAAAAAAAUAAACCCGUAACAUGUUAACAUUAUGGCAAAUAGUGAUUUUUAAAUGGAGAAAUUAAGUAUUUUCUGCAAUAAUAACAACAAACUUAACAACAUGGGUGUCAUUGUUUUAUAUUUUUGCAAAAUCUUUGUCUGGCUUACCAGGAGACAGGUAGAUCCUCAUUUAUUGGCUGCCGUGUUCACUGUGUUGUGACAUGUUUUGGCUGGAGUAUAUAAGGAAGGUCCAGCCUCUCAUAGACCAGUUACUAUUGGGGAAAGAGAGGGUAUUUUAAUGCCUCUUUUAGGAAAUUAUGGCCAGUCUGCUUUGAUAUCACACCUUUCCUAGACAGGUGGUAGUUUAUUAAAGAUUAGGACGUACAUUCUGAAACCAGCUUGAUGAAUUUUAUGAAAUUUGCAUGCUCUGUUGUAGUAAAGCCCCUCGGUCUACUUUGCACUUUGAAAUGGCUCUUCUACCCAUAUGUGAUUUUGUAGCAUAGAGUGUUUGUCACCUGGCAAACACAGGUUCACACAGUGAUGUGGAUCUAGAUGUCAGCAUGUUUUAUCAGACCUUGUCCAUAAAGCACCUUUGUUAACAUAGCUAUCAGUUUCAUCAGGAAAGUCUAUAGCUGUUGGGAAUCCCAGGCUCACAGUGGAAGACACAAGUUUUCCAAAAUCCCAAUUUUUGCUCGAGAGCUCAAAAUUUUAUCAUUGGCAACAAACACCAUCAGUUGUUUACCUUGAAGUGGCCAGCUCACAUCAUUCAUUUCCAAGAACAUGCCAUCAACAACUGAACAGUCUGUCCAUGGGUCAUUCUUUCAAGUAAAAGUGGUGUUCCAUGAAACAAGUAGCUAGUUCAGCUUGUAACUCAAAUGUCAAUUGCACAAGUGCUUUUCCUCAGGGCGGCCAUUGUCUUUCACUGUGCAAUACAAGGGCCAGGUAUGAACUGUGUAUUUCUGCAUGUGGGAUCUUAAAAAUUUAUGCAUCACAAAUUUUGUGUAAAUCACAAAUUGAGAUUUAACAAGAGUAAGUAUUUUUACUCUUUUAUCAGCACUUUUUAAAGAGAAACUGGAUUUUUUUUUUUUCCUGUGGGUACAUGGUGGUGAAGGACACUAGUAGAAUUUGGUGCCACUGCUUUGGUGUGGGCCAAGGUUCUAGCAACUUUAUCCGCCAUGGCUUUUGGGCCAUUGGUGUAAAUGUCCACUCAGCGAAAGGGGCAUAUGAAAAGUUUUGACCUCACAGGUCACCUGAAGGAUCUCAGGUCCCUGGGAUUCCACUGAAUAUAUUUUGAGAACCACUGAUCUAGCUGCACUGGGCUCUUCUCCUGCCCAUGUGCCUGCUGUUGGUUGACUCACAUGGAAUUGUUGAUAUUUGGUCAGAUUGUCUCUACAUCUUUGUAUGUUCUGUUCCACCUACCUGGAGUGUCCUUCCCAUCUGUCGAAAUUCUUCUUUCAGGCCGCCAAGUCUGUUGCUCAUUUUCUUUCCCAAGAUGCACAUCACAGUCUUCCUCUGGCCAAGAGCUGUCUUGUCUGUUCAUUGGCAAGUGGCUUGAUGGCAGAGGACCAACCACAUUUGUCUUUGUCCCCCCAGGGUCUGGCAGAACCCUGACUGCCCUGAACAGAGGUGGAGGUGAGCAGUAGCUUCAGGGAACCUCGGGCUGUGGAAGUUGUGUGACUCCAGCAGCUACCUAAGGCAAAGGAUCUGGGUGCCCCUGAUCCCAGUGCCCACCCAGUGGCCACUUCAUAAAUGACAGCCUGAUAUUCAGGAGGAAGCCAAUCCUUCCGAAGUCUGGACUCUUCUAUCAGAAGGAAUGCCUGGGGCAUUUACCCUGGAACCCAGCCACCAAGCUAUAAGGUAGGCCAGGCCUUGUGGGAGGCCACGUGCAGGUGUCCCAGCCAGCGACUCUACUGAGGACCCAGCCAGGGCUAUGGACGUGAACCCCAGAUGUUUGAGUGAGGAGAGCUUCAAGAUUCCUGCAGUCCCAGCUGCCGUCUGAUGUAUUAUCAGAAUUAACUUGUGUCUGCACACCUGGACACUUGCCUGGUGUGGAGACCCCCACACCUGGUGUCAGAAGAGCAGUCGCAGGAAAUGUCUUGGGUGGACGUUCAGGUACCGCUGCCUCCGGGCUACGUGAAUAAAUCACAGCCGACAGGCCUCUGGUUAACUCUAGAGUUGGAAGCAGUCAUUUCUCUUUUUCCUUUUUUUUGUCCUCCUUGUCCUCAUUCUCCUUUCUGGAAAAUUAAAGAGUAGCUCCUGUACAUCUGUGUUUGUGGUCUGUGACCUCGACCUUGCAUAGGAAUUUAAACACUGUGUUUAGCGGAUCCCCUGGGCUCAUAUAGGUAGUAUUUUUAUAUAUAUUGUAA
This 3388-nucleotide long non-coding RNA is filed under the name Lynx pardinus (Iberian lynx). Lineage: Eukaryota; Metazoa; Chordata; Mammalia; Carnivora; Felidae. The record is from RNAcentral.